This 253-nucleotide ribosomal RNA is filed under the name uncultured archaeon. RNAcentral's name for it is "partial 16S ribosomal RNA". It matches the Rfam family "Archaeal small subunit ribosomal RNA", at positions 474 to 727 of the family's 1478-position model. The record is from RNAcentral.
AACCAGCACCUCAAGUGGUCAGGAUGAUUAUUGGGCCUAAAGCAUCCGUAGCCGGCUCUGUAAGUUUUCGGUUAAAUCUGUACGCUCAACGUACAGGCUGCCGGGAAUACUGCAGAGCUAGGGAGUGGGAGAGGUAGACGGUACUCGGUAGGAAGGGGUAAAAUCCUUUGAUCUAUCGAUGACCACCUGUGGCGAAGGCGGCCUUCUGGUCUGAUACUGACGCUGAGAUACGAAAGCCAGGGGAGCGAACGGG